GGAGUGGCUCAGUGAUAAGAACAUCUGCUUGGCAUGCAGAAGGUGCCAGGUUCAAUCCCCAGCAUGACCA
This 70-nucleotide transfer RNA is filed under the name Sphaerodactylus townsendi. RNAcentral's name for it is "tRNA-Ala". Lineage: Eukaryota; Metazoa; Chordata; Lepidosauria; Squamata; Sphaerodactylidae. The record is from RNAcentral.